CCUACGGGAGGCAGCAGUGGGGAAUAUUGGACAAUGGCGGAAACGCUUAUCCAGCGACGCCGCGUGAGGGAUGAAGGUUUUCGGAUUGUAAACCUCUUUCAGCGGGGACGAUAAUGACGGUACCCACGGAGGAAGCCACGGCUAAAUACUUGCCAGCAGCCGCGGUAAUACGUAGGUGGCAAGCGUUGUCCGGAAUUACUGGGGGUAAAGGGAGCGUAGGCGGGAUGUGAAGUCAGAAGUGAAAAUGAUGGGGUCAACUCAUAACCUGCUUUUGAAACUGAUAUUCUUGAGUGAAGUAGAGGUAUGCGGAAUUCGUAGUGUAGCGGUGAAAUGCGUAGAUAUUAGGAGGAACACCAGUGGCGAAGGCGGCUUGCUGGGCUUUUACUGACGCUGAGGCUCGAAAGCGUGGGGAGCAAACAGGAUUAGAUACCCGAGUAGUC
This 440-nucleotide ribosomal RNA is filed under the name uncultured bacterium. RNAcentral's name for it is "partial 16S ribosomal RNA". It matches the Rfam family "Bacterial small subunit ribosomal RNA", at positions 338 to 795 of the family's 1533-position model. The record is from RNAcentral.